GACGAACGCUGGCGGCGUGCUUAACACAUGCAAGUCGAACGGAAAGGCGCUGCUCUUGCGGGGUGCUCGAGUGGCGAACGGGUGAGUAACACGCGUGUAACCUCUCCUUGUCUUUGUGAUAACACUUGGAAACUGGGGCUAAUACCGGAUAGGAGCUCUUGCUGCACGGGGGGGGUUGGAAAGUUUCGGCGGUUCGGGAUGGACUGGAGGGUUAUCAGCUUGUUGGUGGGGUUGUGGCUGUCCACGGCUUUGACGGGUAGCCGACCUGAGAGGGUUGCCGGCGACAUUGGGACUAAGGUACGGCCCAGACGCCUACGGGAGGCAACAGUGGGAAAUAUUACAGAGUGGGCGGGAGCCUGAUGCGACAGCGCCGCGUGCGGAAUGACGGCCUUCGAGUUAUAAACCGCUUUCGCCGGUGACGAAGCGUGAGUGACGGUAAUGGGUAAGGAAGCACCGGCUAACUACGUG
This 468-nucleotide ribosomal RNA is filed under the name uncultured bacterium. RNAcentral's name for it is "partial 16S ribosomal RNA". It matches the Rfam family "Bacterial small subunit ribosomal RNA", at positions 28 to 507 of the family's 1533-position model. The record is from RNAcentral.